Molecule: ribosomal RNA, 492 nt
Filed under: uncultured bacterium
Lineage: Bacteria
Description: partial 16S ribosomal RNA
Rfam family: Bacterial small subunit ribosomal RNA
Source: RNAcentral
AGUGAACGCUGGCGGUAGGCCUAACACAUGCAAGUCGAACGGCAGCACAGUAAGAGCUUGCUCUUACGGGUGGCGAGUGGCGGACGGGUGAGGAAUACAUCGGACUCUACUUUUUCGUGGGGGAUCACGUAGGGAAACUUACGCUAAUACCGCAUACGACCUACGGGUGAAAGCAGGGGAUCUUCGGACCUUGCGCGUUUGAAUGAGCCGAUGUCGGAUUAGCUAGUUGGCGGGGUAAAGGCCCACCAAGGCGACGAUCCGUAGCUGGUCUGAGAGGAUGAUCAGCCACACUGGAACUGAGACACGGUCCAGACUCCUACGGGAGGCAGCAGUGGGGAAUAUUGGACAAUGGGCGCAAGCCUGAUCCAGCCAUACCGCGUGGGUGAAGAAGGCCUUCGGGUUGUAAAGCCCUUUUGUUGGGAAAGAAAAGCAGCAGGUUAAUACCCCGCGGUUCUGACGGUACCCAAAGAAUAAGCACCGGCUAACUUCGUG